AUUUGUAAUAUAAACAAAAAAAUUAAUCUCUACAACUCUCGCCGGCGCUUACAAAAAUUUUCCCUAUUAUAAGUGAACAACAUAAAUAUGUUCAUAAUUUGUAUCAAAUAUAUGUGGCCAACUAAUGUCUCGCAGGCGAGAUUUAAAAGGAAUUUGGUAGUAGUGAUGUUACUAUAUCUGGACAGUUUUGUGAUUUUGCGCCCUCUUGACUGAAGGGGAAAAUCGAAAGCAUCCAUUUAUCGCUUCUUCCCUUUCUCAUACUUUUGAUCUGUAAUCUAUAAUAACAACGAGGCUAUUUACAAUUAAAAAAAAAAAAUUAUCUACUCUGAUUCUGC
This 335-nucleotide long non-coding RNA is filed under the name Brassica rapa (field mustard). RNAcentral describes it as "long non-coding RNA (BRAP_LNC002331)". Lineage: Eukaryota; Viridiplantae; Streptophyta; Magnoliopsida; Brassicales; Brassicaceae. The record is from RNAcentral.